Molecule: long non-coding RNA, 589 nt
Filed under: Elaeis guineensis (African oil palm)
Lineage: Eukaryota; Viridiplantae; Streptophyta; Magnoliopsida; Arecales; Arecaceae
Description: long non-coding RNA (EGUI_LNC047971)
Source: RNAcentral
CGAGCUUCUUCGUAGCUGGAUCCCAGACGAGCUUCUACAAUGGGAUAGGACCCACCGGCCAGGUCGCUACUUCAAGCUCCCACGGUAAUCGAUCUUCGAUCGAGCUUCUACAAUAAGCGGUCUCCUUUCAGCCUUUUACAAGAACCAGACUCCGUCCGAACUUCCAUAGCGGAUGGAUAUCAGACGAGCUUCUACGACAGACAGACUCCAGCAGUUGAAUUUCUACAACGAUCGAUCGCCUCCGAUGUCUGUCGAACCUCCCCAACGCCAUCCGAAGUCCAUCAUCGGCCGACCCUCCGCCAGAUUCUUCAUGAAACCAGACUUCUCCAAUGGAUGAUCUUCGGACGAGCUUCCACAUCAGGCAAAUCUCAGACGGACUUCUCUAGCAAUCGGACUCCUACCGGACUUCACCGAUGAAAAGUCUCCAUCCGAGCUUCUACGACAGAUGACUCCCACCUGUAGUAUCAGCACCUAAGAUAUCUGACAACAGUAGGCUCGUCAGCAGCUUCGAAAACAUUCGAGCUUCUCCUAAAUCGAUGGGAUAGAGAGCCAUUCCGCUCCAUCAGAUGUCCCAAUCGAGCUCCAGCCG